GUUGAAACACCUAUUCUUAUACGAUCACCGAAGUUAAGCAACUUCGAGCCUGGUCAGUACCUAGAUGGGUGUCCACUUUGGAACACCAGGUGCUGUAAG
Acanthosepion pharaonis is the source of this 99-nucleotide non-coding RNA. The record is from the annotation of a GenBank genome assembly. Lineage: Eukaryota; Metazoa; Mollusca; Cephalopoda; Sepiida; Sepiidae.